RNAcentral lists this ribosomal RNA (730 nucleotides) under uncultured bacterium. Its description in RNAcentral is "bacterial SSU rRNA". It matches the Rfam family "Bacterial small subunit ribosomal RNA", at positions 771 to 1501 of the family's 1533-position model. The record is from RNAcentral.
AACAGGAUUAGAUACCCUGGUAGUCCACGCCGUAAACGAUGUCGACUUGGAGGUUGUGCCCUUGAGGCGUGGCUUCCGGAGCUAACGCGUUAAGUCGACCGCCUGGGGAGUACGGCCGCAAGGUUAAAACUCAAAUGAAUUGACGGGGGCCCGCACAAGCGGUGGAGCAUGUGGUUUAAUUCGAUGCAACGCAAAGAACCUUACCUACUCUUGACAUCCAGAGAACUUAGCAGAGAUGCUUUGGUGCCUUCGGGAACUCUGAGACAGGUGCUGCAUGGCUGUCGUCAGCUCGUGUUGUGAAAUGUUGGGUUAAGUCCCGCAACGAGCGCAACCCUUAUCCUUUGUUGCCAGCGGUCCGGCCGGGAACUCAAAGGAGACUGCCAGUGAUAAACUGGAGGAAGGUGGGGAUGACGUCAAGUCAUCAUGGCCCUUACGAGUAGGGCUACACACGUGCUACAAUGGCGCAUACAAAGAGAAGCGACCUCGCGAGAGCAAGCGGACCCCAUAAAGUGCGUCGUAGUCCGGAUUGGAGUCUGCAACUCGACUCCAUGAAGUCGGAAUCGCUAGUAAUCGUGGAUCAGAAUGCCACGGUGAAUACGUUCCCGGGCCUUGUACACACCGCCCGUCACACCAUGGGAGUGGGUUGCAAAAGAAGUAGGUAGCUUAACCUUCGGGAGGGCGCUUACCACUUUGUGAUUCAUGACUGGGGUGAAGUCGUAACAAGGUAACC